UACGUAGGGGGCGAGCGUUGUCCGGAUUUAUUGGGCGUAAAGAGCUCGUAGGCGGCUUGGCAAGUCGGGUGUGAAACCUCCAGGCUCAACCUGGAGACGCCACUCGAUACUGCCAUGGCUAGAGUCCGGUAGGGGACCACGGAAUUCCUGGUGUAGCGGUGAAAGUGCGCAGAUAUCAGGAGGAACACCGGUGGCGAAGGCGGUGGUCUGGGCCGGCACUGACGCUGAUGCGCGAAAGCGUGGGGGAGCGAACAGG
Molecule: ribosomal RNA, 256 nt
Filed under: uncultured bacterium
Lineage: Bacteria
Description: partial 16S ribosomal RNA
Rfam family: Bacterial small subunit ribosomal RNA
Source: RNAcentral